UGGGGAAUUUUGGACAAUGGGCGAAAGCCUGAUCCAGCAAUGCCGCGUGUGUGAAGAAGGCCUUCGGGUUGUAAAGCACUUUUGUCCAGAAAGAAAUCCUUGGCUCUAAUACAGUCGGGGGAUGACGGUACCGGAAGAAUAAGCACCGGCUAACUACGUGCCAGCAGCCGCGGUAAUACGUAGGGUGCAAGCGUUAAAUCGGAAUUACUGGGCGUAAAGCGUGCGCAGGCGGUUUGCUAAGACCGAUGUGAAAUCCCCGGGCUCAACCUGGGAACUGCAUUGGUGACUGGCAGGCUAGAGUAUGGCAGAGGGGGGUAGAAUUCCACGUGUAGCAGUGAAAUGCGUAGAGAUGUGGAGGAAUACCGAUGGCGAAGGCAGCCCCCUGGGCCAAUACUGACGCUCAUGCACGAAAAGCGUGGGGAGCAAAACAGGAUUAGAUACCCCUGGUAGUCCACGCCCUAAAACGAUGUCAACUAGUUGUUGGGGGAUUCAUUUUCCUUAGUAACGUAGCUAACGCGUGAAGUUGACCGCCUGGGGAGUACGUCGCAAGAUUAAAAACUCAAAAGGAAUUGACGGGGGUCAUA
This 584-nucleotide ribosomal RNA is filed under the name uncultured bacterium. RNAcentral describes it as "partial 16S ribosomal RNA". It matches the Rfam family "Bacterial small subunit ribosomal RNA", at positions 355 to 924 of the family's 1533-position model. The record is from RNAcentral.